CAUAGACACCAUAGUUUUACCUGGUUUGUGGACGUUAGAAUAGAAUUUACAUUCUUAAUUGUAGCUUGCUGGCAUUUAUAUUUUGUGUAAUACUAAGAGGAAGAAGUCACAAUAAUCAACCAGCAACAUAUUUCUAUGUUAAGAACGGGAACCGAGCAGCAACCUUUCAGCUAACUUCUAAGAACCACUAUUCCGAAAAUCACAAUCCACGCCGCCGCAUGAACAACUCAGUUGCGAAGAGCUCUUGAUGAUUAUGGCGCGACGAGAGCAAACAGCGGAUGCAGAAACAUCCUUCAAAAUAUAAAGUCAUUUUUGUUUAUUAUAAUUACAAAUAAAGAGCAGGAUGCAGGGGCUUAAGCCUAAGCUGAUCCUUGCUGGGCGUUGCCGAGA
Drosophila biarmipes is the source of this 390-nucleotide long non-coding RNA. RefSeq lists it as uncharacterized. The transcript is spliced from 2 exons. Lineage: Eukaryota; Metazoa; Arthropoda; Insecta; Diptera; Drosophilidae. The record is from RefSeq and is a predicted model, not a curated record.